This 1080-nucleotide long non-coding RNA is filed under the name Oryctolagus cuniculus (rabbit). RNAcentral's name for it is "lncRNA (ENSOCUG00000033030.1)". Lineage: Eukaryota; Metazoa; Chordata; Mammalia; Lagomorpha; Leporidae. The record is from RNAcentral.
AUGCAAUGGCCUGGUCCCUGGUUCCUGUCCCUGAGGGUGAGUCCCUCACCACCAAGAGGUCCUUCCACAGGAAGUCUUCUUGCUGGUGCAGAUCAGGUUUCUGGGCUUCUUUGGAUCCUAAACCUUGUAGAGCCACCCGGACUGGGCAGUAGUUACCUGUGCAGGGGACAGAGGGGCCCACACUGCCACCAUCCCUCCCCUGCAAACAUGGGAGACCCCAACAGAGUCCCCUGCAGGCAGAACCUCGCAGUAACAACCCUUUCUCCCACCCCCGUGCAGACAGCACCUGUCCCACCUGACAGCCUUCUCAGCUCAUCCAGGAGCCGCCAUGGACACCUCCUGCCCCGCUCUGCUGAGGGACGCGGGAGCCACUGGGACACAGAGGGCUUGGGGGACCUGACAUCGGUCCCCACCCCAGGAAGUCCCCAGGUUGGAAUUCUGGCCUCGGGAUUCUGCUCCCUCUCCCGGGGCUCCCAGGAAGGGAGACGAGUGGUGCACAAAUGAAAAUGCAACAACAGAAAUCAAAUGAACAGAAAUCAAAACACAAAAAUGAACAAACUCACUCUGCUCCCGUUACCAACAGAAACCAUGAACUGUAUCCACUACACCACACCAACAAGGAGACUGUUCUAUGGAAGAAAAUGUUAAAAUGAGAAAACACAAAAUGAACAUGAAUGGUGGCAGGAAACAAAAUAGAAAAAGUACAAAGUAACCAACAUGGAAAAAGAAAAACAAAUUUGACCCAACAGGAGCAGCAGGAUCCGAUUCUUCCGCCGGAUUCCUCUCCCUCUCCAGGGCUCCCCCAGGAAGGGUCAGCAGGGCUGACGUCUGGGAGACCCCAAGCCAGCAGCUGACACAGAUCAGCUCUCAUGGCUCUGACUACUUGAGCACAAAGUUGAAACAAACAGAAAUCAAAUGAACAGAAAUCAGAACACAAAAUGGACAAAGUCAGGUCACAUCACCAACAGAAAACAGGAACCAAAUGAACUCAACUGGACUAACAACUGAGACUAACCCUAUCGAAACAGUUAAAAGUGAGAAAACACAAAUACAUAAUAAACCAUAAAGAAAAAAAUCCCA